Molecule: ribosomal RNA, 468 nt
Filed under: uncultured bacterium
Lineage: Bacteria
Description: partial 16S ribosomal RNA
Rfam family: Bacterial small subunit ribosomal RNA
Source: RNAcentral
GACGAACGCUGGCGGCGUGCUUAACACAUGCAAGUCGAACGGAAAGGCCCUGCUUUUGUGGGGUGCUCGAGUGGCGAACGGGUGAGUAACACGUGAGUAACCUGCCCUUGACUUUGGGAUAACUUCAGGAAACUGGGGCUAAUACCGGAUAGGAGCUCCUGCUGCAUGGUGGGGGUUGGAAAGUUUCGGCGGUUGGGGAUGGACUCGCGGCUUAUCAGCUUGUUGGUGGGGUAGUGGCUUACCAAGGCUUUGAGGGGUAGCCGGCCUGAGAGGGUGACCGGCGACAUGGGGACUGAGAGAGGGCCCAGACUCCUACGGGAGGCAGCAGUGGGGAAUAUUGCACAAUGGGCGGAAGCCUGAGGCAGCAACGCCGGGUGCGGGAUGACGGCCUUCGGGUGGUAAACCGCUUUCGCCGGUGACGAAGCGUGAGUGACGGUAAUGGGUAAAGAAGCACCGGCUAACUACGUG